UGACUGACGAUGGCGGUAUGCUUAACACAUGCAAGUUGAACGAGAGCCUAGCUCUAGUAGCGGACGGGUGAGUAAUACGUGAGAAUCUACCUUUAGGAGGGGAAUAACAAUUGGAAACGAUUGCUAAUGCCCCAUAUGCUGUAAAGUGAAAUGAUAUUUCGCCUAAAGAUGAGCUCACGCCUGAUUAGCUUGUUGGUAGGGUAAUUGCCUACCAAGGCUACGAUCAGUAGCUGAUUUGAGGGGAUGAUCAGCCACACUGGAACUGAGACACGGUCCAGACUUCUACGGAAGGCAGCAGUGGGGAAUUUUCCGCAAUGGGCGCAAGCCUGACGGAGCAAUACCGCGUGAGGGAUGAAUGCCUAUGGGUUGUAAACCUCUUUUAUUGGGGAAGAAUUUUGACGGUACCCAAUGAAUAAGCAUCGGCUAACUCCGUGCCAGCAGCCGCGGUAAUACGGGGGAUGCAAGCGUUAUCCGGAAUCAUUGGGCGUAAAGAGUCUGUAGGUUGCAUAAUAAGUCUACUGUUAAAUAUUAGAGCUCAACUUUAAGCAAGCAGUAGAAACUAUUAUGCUAGAGUAUGGUAGAGGUAGAUGGAAUUCCCAGUGUAGCGGUGAAAUGCGUAGAUAUUGGGAAGAACACCAGACGCGAAAGCGAUCUACUGGGCCAUAACUGACACUGAGAGACGAAAGCUAGGGGAGCAAAUGGGAUUAGAUACCCCAGUAGUCCUAGCCGUAAACGAUGGAUACUAGAUGUCGUGCGUAUCGAUCCGUGCAGUGUCGUAGCUAACGCGUUAAGUAUCCCGCCUGGGAAGUACGCUCGCAAGAGUGAAACUCAAAGGAAUUUGACGG
Molecule: ribosomal RNA, 845 nt
Filed under: uncultured bacterium
Lineage: Bacteria
Description: bacterial SSU rRNA
Rfam family: Bacterial small subunit ribosomal RNA
Source: RNAcentral